This 636-nucleotide ribosomal RNA is filed under the name Salmonella enterica. RNAcentral's name for it is "partial 23S ribosomal RNA". It matches the Rfam family "Bacterial large subunit ribosomal RNA", at positions 911 to 1547 of the family's 2925-position model. The record is from RNAcentral. RNAcentral also lists the same sequence under 4 other names. Lineage: Bacteria; Pseudomonadati; Pseudomonadota; Gammaproteobacteria; Enterobacterales; Enterobacteriaceae.
UGUUUCGGCUAGGGGGCCAUCCCGGCUUACCAACCCGAUGCAAACUGCGAAUACCGGAGAAUGUUAUCACGGGAGACACACGGCGGGUGCUAACGUCCGUCGUGAAGAGGGAAACAACCCAGACCGCCAGCUAAGGUCCCAAAGUCAUGGUUAAGUGGGAAACGAUGUGGGAAGGCCCAGACAGCCAGGAUGUUGGCUUAGAAGCAGCCAUCAUUUAAAGAAAGCGUAAUAGCUCACUGGUCGAGUCGGCCUGCGCGGAAGAUGUAACGGGGCUAAACCAUGCACCGAAGCUGCGGCAGCGACACUCAGGUGUUGUUGGGUAGGGGAGCGUUCUGUAAGCCUGCGAAGGUGGCCUGUGAGGGUUGCUGGAGGUAUCAGAAGUGCGAAUGCUGACAUAAGUAACGAUAAAGCGGGUGAAAAGCCCGCUCGCCGGAAGACCAAGGGUUCCUGUCCAACGUUAAUCGGGGCAGGGUGAGUCGACCCCUAAGGCGAGGCCGAAAGGCGUAGUCGAUGGGAAACGGGUUAAUAUUCCCGUACUUGGUGUUACUGCGAAGGGGGGACGGAGAAGGCUAUGUUGGCCGGGCGACGGUUGUCCCGGUUUAAGCGUGUAGGUGUGUGUUCCAGGUAAAUCCGGUU